This 232-nucleotide ribosomal RNA is filed under the name uncultured bacterium. RNAcentral describes it as "partial 16S ribosomal RNA". It matches the Rfam family "Bacterial small subunit ribosomal RNA", at positions 99 to 334 of the family's 1533-position model. The record is from RNAcentral.
CGGACGGGUGAGUAAUGCUUGGGAAUCUAGCUUAUGGAGGGGGAUAACUACGGGAAACUGUAGCUAAUACCGCGUAAUAUCGAAAGAUUAAAGUGUGGGACCUUCGGGCCACAUGCCAUAGGAUGAGCCCAAGUGGGAUUAGGUAGUUGGCGAGGUAAAGGCUCACCAAGCCGACGAUCUCUAGCUGGUCUGAGAGGAUGACCAGCCACACUGGGACUGAGACACGGCCCAG